UUUCAGCUUUGGUUUGCUUUCGUUAAUGGAUUUUCUGGGCAGAUCUUAUUUGAGCGAUGGUGCAUUGGUCUGUAUAACGUGAUUUUCACAGCACUGCCACCCUUUACUCUGGGAAUUUUUGAAAGAUCAUGUACUCAAGAUAGCAUGCUUAGAUUUCCACAGCUAUACAAAAUUACUCAAAAUGCAGAUGGUUUCAACACAAGGGUUUUCUGGGGUCACUGCAUCAAUGCCCUUAUCCAUUCCAUCAUUCUUUUCUGGUUUCCACUGAAAGUGCUGGAGCAUGGUAAGGGCUUCUUUAUUUCUUA
This is a long non-coding RNA of Pipra filicauda (Wire-tailed manakin), 305 nucleotides long. RefSeq lists it as uncharacterized. The record is from RefSeq and is a predicted model, not a curated record. NCBI's taxonomy places the organism in Eukaryota, Metazoa, Chordata, Aves, Passeriformes, Pipridae. The transcript has 3 exons.